CCCUUAGAUGUUCUGGGCCGCACGCGCGCUACACUGACGAAUGCAACGAGCUUAUAACCUUGGCCGAAAGGUCUGGGUAAUCUCCAAAUUUCGUCGUGAUGGGGAUAGAUUAUUGCAAUUAUUAAUCUUCAACGAGGAAUGCCUAGUAAGCGCAAGUCAUCAGCUUGCGUUGAUUACGUCCCUGCCCUUUGUACACACCGCCCGUCGCUCCUACCGAUUGAAUGGUCCGGUGAAGCGCUCGGACCGCGGCCUCUUGACGGUUUUCCGUCGAUUGGCUGUGGGAAGUUCGUUAAACCUUAUCAUUUAGAGGAAGGAAAAGUCGUAACA
Molecule: ribosomal RNA, 327 nt
Filed under: uncultured eukaryote
Lineage: Eukaryota
Description: partial 18S ribosomal RNA
Rfam family: Eukaryotic small subunit ribosomal RNA
Source: RNAcentral